GAUGAAGAACGUAGCGAAAUGCGAUAAGUAAUGUGAAUUGCAGAAUUCAGUGAAUCAUCGAAUCUUAGAACGCACAUUGCGCCCGCCAGUAUUCUGGCGGGCAUGCCUGUUCGAGCGUCAUUUCAACCAUCAAGCCCCAGGCUUGUGUUGGGGACCUGCGGCUGCCGCAGGCCCUGAAAACCAGUGGCGGGCUCGCUGUCACACCGGGCGUAGUAGAUUUUAUCUCGCUCUGGGCGUGCUGCGGGUUCCGGCCGUUAAAAAACCCUUUUAACCCAAGGUUGACCUCGGAUCAGGUAGGAAUACCCGCUGAACUUAAGCAUAUCAAUAAGCGGAGGA
Molecule: unclassified non-coding RNA, 336 nt
Filed under: soil metagenome
Description: partial contains 5.8S ribosomal RNA, internal transcribed spacer 2, and large subunit ribosomal RNA
Rfam family: 5.8S ribosomal RNA (bases 1-120)
Source: RNAcentral